This 292-nucleotide ribosomal RNA is filed under the name uncultured bacterium. Its description in RNAcentral is "partial 16S ribosomal RNA". It matches the Rfam family "Bacterial small subunit ribosomal RNA", at positions 505 to 796 of the family's 1533-position model. The record is from RNAcentral.
GUGCCAGCCGCCGCGGUAAGACGAACCGUGCAAACGUUAUUCGGAAUCACUGGGCUUAAAGGGCGCGUAGGCGGGCAACCAAGUCCGAGGUGAAAUCCUCCAGCUUAACUGGAGAAGUGCCCCGGAUACUGGUGGCCUCGAGGAGGGUAGGGGCAUCUGGAACUAGCGGUGGAGCGGUGAAAUGCGUUGAUAUCGCUAGGAACUCCGGUGGCGAAGGCGAGGUGCUGGACCCUUUCUGACGCUGAGGCGCGAAAGCCAGGGGAGCGAACGGGAUUAGAUACCCCCGUAGUCC